GACGAACGCUGGCGGCGUGCCUAAUACAUGCAAGUAGAACGCACAGUUUAUACCGUAGCUUGCUACACCAUAAACUGUGAGUUGCGAACGGGUGAGUAACGCGUAGGUAACCUGCCUGGUAGCGGGGGAUAACUAUUGGAAACGAUAGCUAAUACCGCAUAAUAUUGAUUAUUGCAUGAUAAUUGAUUGAAAGAUGCUAUUGCAUCACUACCAGAUGGACCUGCGUUGUAUUAGCUAGUAGGUGAGGUAACGGCUCACCUAGGCGACGAUACAUAGCCGACCUGAGAGGGUGAUCGGCCACACUGGGACUGAGACACGGCCCAGACUCCUACGGGAGGCAGCAGUAGGGAAUCUUCGGCAAUGGACGAAAGUCUGACCGAGCAACGCCGCGUGAGUGAAGAAGGUGUUCGGAUCGUAAAGCUCUGUUGUAAGAGAAGAACGGGUGUGAGAGUGGAAAGUGCACACUGUGACGGUAUCUUACCAGAAAGGGACGGCUAACUACGU
RNAcentral lists this ribosomal RNA (504 nucleotides) under uncultured bacterium. Its description in RNAcentral is "partial 16S ribosomal RNA". It matches the Rfam family "Bacterial small subunit ribosomal RNA", at positions 28 to 506 of the family's 1533-position model. The record is from RNAcentral.